This 376-nucleotide ribosomal RNA is filed under the name uncultured Cryptomonas. RNAcentral describes it as "SSU rRNA". It matches the Rfam family "Eukaryotic small subunit ribosomal RNA", at positions 585 to 972 of the family's 1831-position model. The record is from RNAcentral. Lineage: Eukaryota; Cryptophyceae; Cryptomonadales; Cryptomonadaceae.
CCAGCUCUAAUAGCAUAUAUUAAAGUUGUUGCAGUUAAAAAGCUCGUAGUCGAAUUUCGGGCUCGUGUGGGCUAUCGGCUUAUGUCGGAUGGCAUGCGCGGGCCUUUCUGCUUGGGAGUCCCAGGUUGGUUAACCCCUUCUUGGUGAGUCACAGGCCGUUUACUUUGAAAAAAUUAGAGUGUUCAAAGCAGGCUGUUGCUUGAAUAUAUUAGCAUGGAAUAAUGGAAUAGGACUUUGGUGCUAUUUCGUUGGUUAUGGGACCGAGGUAAUGAUUAAUAGGGACAGUUGGGGCCGUUCAUAUUUCGUUGUCAGAGGUGAAAUUCUUGGAUUUACGAACGAUGAACUUAUGCGAAAGCAUUCGGCAAGGAUGUUUUCA